RNAcentral lists this ribosomal RNA (406 nucleotides) under uncultured bacterium. RNAcentral describes it as "partial 16S ribosomal RNA". It matches the Rfam family "Bacterial small subunit ribosomal RNA", at positions 30 to 526 of the family's 1533-position model. The record is from RNAcentral.
AUUGAACGCUGGCGGCAGGCCUAACACAUGCAAGUCGAACGAGUAGCGGACGGGUGAGUAAUGUCUGAGCAAGUGCCUGAUGGAGGGGGAUAACUACUGGAACAGGUAGCUAAUACCGCAUACCAUGGGAUGUGCCCAGAUGGGAUUGGCUAGUAGGUGGGGUAAAGGCUCACCUAGGCGACGAUCCCUAGCUGGUCUGAGAGGAUGACCAGCCACACUGGAACUGAGACACGGUCCAGACUCCUACGGGAGGCAGCAGUGGGGAAUCUUGCACAAUGGGCGCAAGCCUGAGGCAGCCAGGCCGCGUGUAUGAAGAAGGUCUUCGGGUUGUAAAGUACUUUCAGCGGGGAGGCGUUACCCGCAGAAGAAGCACCGGCUAACUCCGUGCCAGCAGCCGCGGUAAUUC